RNAcentral lists this ribosomal RNA (1325 nucleotides) under metagenome. RNAcentral's name for it is "bacterial LSU rRNA". It matches the Rfam family "Bacterial large subunit ribosomal RNA", at positions 1561 to 2925 of the family's 2925-position model. The record is from RNAcentral.
AGUGGAUGGGGAGCAACCUAGUUGUGCGUGUGUAAAGGUAGUGCCAAGAAAAGCGGUGAUCAUGAUGAAAAUCAAUUCCCGGUACCCGAAACCGACACAGGUGGGCAAGUAGAGAAUACUAAGGGGCGCGAGGUAACUCUCUCCAAGGAACUCGGCAAAAUGACCCCGUAACUUAGGGAGAAGGGGUGCCACCGAGAGGUGGUCGCAGUGAAGAGGCCCAGGCGACUGUUUAGCAAAAACAUAGGUCUCUGCAAACUCGAAAGAGGAGGUAUAGGGGCUGACGCCUGCCCAGUGCCGGAAGGUUAAAGAAGUUGGUCAGUCUUAGGAUGAAGCUAGCGACUGAAGCCCCGGUGAACGGCGGCCGUAACUAUAACGGUCCUAAGGUAGCGAAAUUCCUUGUCGGGUAAGUUCCGACCCGCACGAAAGGCGUAACGAUCUGGGCGCUGUCUCGGAGAGAGGCUCGGCGAAAUAGGAUUGUCUGUGAAGAUACGGACUACCUGCAUUUGGACAGAAAGACCCUAUGAAGCUUUACUAUAGCUUGGAAUUGUGUUCGGGCUUCCUGUGCGCAGGAUAGGUGGGAGGCGUAGAAGGUAUUCUUGUGGGGAUACUGGAGCCAACGGUGAGAUACCACUCUCAGGAGGCUAGAAUUCUAACUUAAUUAAGGACAGUUUCAGGUGGGUAGUUUGACUGGGGCGGUCGCCUCCAAAAAGGUAACGGAGGCGUACAAAGGUUCCCUCAGACUGGUUGGUAAUCAGUCGAAGAGUGCAAAGGCAGAAGGGAGCUUGACUGCGAGAAGUACAGUUCGAGCAGGGUGGAAACACGGUCUUAGUGAUCCGACGGUGCUGUGUGGAAGGGCCGUCGUUCAACGGAUAAAAGUUGCUCUAGGAUAACAGGCUGAUCUCCCCCAAGAGUUCACAUCGACGGGGAGGUUUGGCACCUCGAUGUCGGCUCAUCGCAACCUGGGGCGGAAGUACGUCCCAAGGGUUGGGCUGUUCGCCCAUUAAAGCGGUACGUGAGCUGGGUUCAGAACGUCGUGAGACAGUUCGGUCCAUAUCCGAUGUAGGCGUGAGAAUAUUGAGAGGAGCCUUCCUUAGUACGAGAGGACCGGGAAGGACGCACCGCUGGUGUACCUGUUAUGAUGCCAAUUGUAAACGCAGGGUAGCCAAGUGCGGAGAGGAUAACCGCUGAAAGCAUCUAAGUGGGAAGCCCACCUCAAGAUGAGUAUUCUGGUGUAAGGUCACGGGAAGACGACCCGUAAAUAGGCACGAGGUGGAAGUGCAGAGAUGUAUGAAGCCGAAGUGUACUAAUAGACCGUCGGCUUGAUC